Molecule: unclassified non-coding RNA, 329 nt
Filed under: soil metagenome
Description: partial contains 5.8S ribosomal RNA, internal transcribed spacer 2, and large subunit ribosomal RNA
Rfam family: 5.8S ribosomal RNA (bases 1-120)
Source: RNAcentral
GAUGAAGAACGCAGUGAAAUGCGAUAAGUAAUGCGAAUUGCAGAAUUCAGUGAGUCAUCGAAUCUUUGAACGCACAUUGCGCCCCUUGGUAUUCCGAGGGGCAUGCCUGUUCGAGCGUCAUUAUAACCCCUCAAGCUCAGCUUGGUGUUGGGGCCUGCUGCACUGGCAGCCCUUAAAAUCAGUGGCGGCGCCAUCUGGCUCUAAGCGUAGUAAUUCUUCUCGCUAUGGAGUCCUGGUGGAUGCUUGCCAUCAACCCCCAAUUUUUCUAUGGUUGACCUCGGAUCAGGUAGGGAUACCCGCUGAACUUAAGCAUAUCAAUAAGCGGAGGA